ACCCUGGGCCCUGACCUGGGAAAAAGCA
Molecule: transfer RNA, 28 nt
Filed under: Melanosuchus niger (black caiman)
Lineage: Eukaryota; Metazoa; Chordata; Crocodylia; Alligatoridae
Description: partial tRNA-Gly
Source: RNAcentral